GGUGGGACCUCUGGUUUCUAACCAAGAAAAUAUGACAAAGGUGAUGAAAUGUAACUCCUAUGAUUACCUUACAUUGUGAAAGUUUCUGUCUUGUUAACUGACUCACUCUAGAGACUCUCUUUGUUGGCUUAAGGAGGUGAACAGCCAUGUUGGAAAGCCUAUAUGGCAAGGAGAAGCUGCCUCUGGGAGCUGAGAGCACCCUCUAGCCCACAGCCAACAAGAUGCUGAGGGCUUGCCUCUUCCAACCACAAGGAAAUGAAUUCUGCCAACAGCCCAAGCUAGUUUGGAAGUGAACUCUUCCCUGUCAAACCUCCAGAUGAGAACACAGCCCUGUCAACACCUUGACUGCAGCCUUGAGAAGAUCUUAAACAGAAAACCCGACUAAGUGGUGCCUGGAUUCCUGACCUACAGAAACGGUGUGCUCCUGUUUCAGUGUGUCUGCACCUUUUGUCCCCUCUGCCUGAAACACAUCUUCCUGCUCCACAGAACUGCCUCCUUCCCACCCUGCAAGUCUCAGCCAGACGUCUUCAUCUCAGAGAGGCUUCCCUGUCUCCUCUUUCCUUCCCACUCCUGCAACUCUCACCAGCACCGUGCAACAAACAGAACUUUCUGCAGCGAUUGAAAUAUUCUUUAUCUGUAACAUUCAAUGCAGUGGCUACUAUCCAGGAGACUACUGAGCCUCAGAAGGUGGCAAGUGUGACUACAGAACUGUAUGUUUUUAUUUAAUUUUAACGAAUUGAAAAUUAAAAAUAAGUAGCUAAAGAAAUGUAGCUAGUUGCUAUCAUAUUUGGAGAGAUCAGC
Molecule: long non-coding RNA, 801 nt
Filed under: Homo sapiens (human)
Lineage: Eukaryota; Metazoa; Chordata; Mammalia; Primates; Hominidae
Description: HSALNT0098233
Source: RNAcentral